UUUUCUCCAAUUUUUUUUCUUCAAAUUUUUCAGAAGUUGACUUGUUACUCAUGAAAAUAAGAUUUCUGUGAGGUCAUUUUCAGUCCCAGGAAAUCGCGAGAAUGCAGGAUUUUGCACCAUUUACUCUAGAGCUUCUGGGGGCCUCGAGCGGCCCCCAUACCCCUCGCCGUAUGACUUCUUUCCCCGGCAUUGCGUACACAUCAUUUUGGCCUAGCUACGCCCCUGAAUAUCAAAUGUCUAUAUAGAACUUAUAUAUAAAAUAUUUACUGUCAGAAAGACUGGGUUUGUUCUAAAACAAAGAGCUGAUAUUCUGUGUUACUUGUAAAACUAUUAAGAAGUGGAGAAAAGUGCCAUAUUAUAAAUUUCAAAAACAUAACAUUUGUUCACUAAAAUUAUUUGUUCAUAUCUUAAGAAGAAUAACAUUAACUUAUAUUCACAUACAUGGAUUUCUAUAUUACUGUUGGGACUUUUGAAGCAUGAUCAAAAUACAUGAAAUAACAAUUUAUAAGAUACAAUACAAUUCAGUACUCUUUUGUGAAAAAAAUAAUCUAAAAGUAUAGUAACCUAAUACAAACUAAGAUGUGGUAUGAUUGCAACAACUAUCUGCCAGAGACCAAAUGAUAGCAACUAUAGGUCACUGUGUCUGUUCCAAGUUAGGAGCCUUUACUUCAUUGAUGUUUGUUAUUGGUGUUUUUAUUGUAUGAGUAUAAACCAAGUUGCUGUAUUUUUUCCUCUGAAUUUUUCACAAACCUUAUCUAGUUUACUAUAUACGUGUUUUGCUUAGUGUUGAAGGUACUGUGAUCUAAUAGUUGUUUACGUCUUGUCGUUUGGUCUCUGUUUGGUAGUUGUGUCAUUGCAUUGGUAAUCAUACAACAUCUCCUUAGUUCUAUAAGGAUGUGAAUUUAACGCAUGAUAAUUAUAAAUAAUAUACUUAUUUAUAGGAGAUAUCAUCUGAUAUUAACCUUAAAUUCAAAUAUUCACUGAAAGUUUUAUUUUCAUUCCUUUUAUUAUUAGAUCAACCAUAAAACAGGGCAUAUUAUUGACUUGAUUUUGUUAGCCACUAUGACAGUAAUUUAUAUUUUUCAAACAUACAUUUGACUUUUGUUUAAAAAGAUAAAUUAAAGGAAGUUAUGAAAAUAUGAUUAUCACAAAAGUUGCCUCUCAAAUAUUAAACACAAUUCACACAAUAUCUAUAUAACAGUUCAGUCUGUAAUUGUUAAAUAUGCUUUUUUUAAACUCUAAAUGGGCCUAAUUCUAUAAACUAGUGUUUUAAACAAAUACAAGAUAAUUCUGACA
This 1296-nucleotide long non-coding RNA is filed under the name Mytilus galloprovincialis (Mediterranean mussel). Lineage: Eukaryota; Metazoa; Mollusca; Bivalvia; Mytilida; Mytilidae. The record is from RNAcentral.